GCCCCCAUCGUCUAGAGGCCAAGGACAUUUCCCUUUCACGGAGGCAACGGGGAUUCGAAUUCCCCUGGGGGUA
This 73-nucleotide transfer RNA is filed under the name Phacus inflexus. Its description in RNAcentral is "tRNA-Glu". It matches the Rfam family "tRNA". Rfam says of the family: Transfer RNA (tRNA) molecules are approximately 80 nucleotides in length. Their secondary structure includes four short double-helical elements and three loops (D, anti-codon, and T loops). Further hydrogen bonds mediate the characteristic L-shaped molecular structure. tRNAs have two regions of fundamental functional importance: the anti-codon, which is responsible for specific mRNA codon recognition, and the 3' end, to which the tRNAs corresponding amino acid is attached (by aminoacyl-tRNA synthetases). tRNAs cope with the degeneracy of the genetic code in two manners: having more than one tRNA (with a specific anti-codon) for a particular amino acid; and 'wobble' base-pairing, i.e. permitting non-standard base-pairing at the 3rd anti-codon position. Lineage: Eukaryota; Euglenozoa; Euglenophyceae; Euglenales; Phacaceae. The record is from RNAcentral.